GAGCGGUAGAGAGAAGCUUGCUUCUCUUGAGAGCGGCGGACGGGUAAGUAAUGCCUAGGAAUCUGCCUGGUAGUGGGGGAUAACGUUCGGAAACGGACGCUAAUACCGCAUACGUCCUACGGGAGAAAGCAGGGGACCCUCGGGCCUUGCGCUAUCAGAUGAGCCUAGGUCGGAUUAGCUAGUUGGUGGGGUAAUGGCUCACCAAGGCGACGAUCCGUAACUGGUCUGAGAGGAUGAUCAGUCACACUGGAACUGAGACACGGUCCAGACUCCUACGGGAGGCAGCAGUGGGGAAUAUUGGACAAUGGGCGAAAGCCUGAUCCAGCCAUGCCGCGUGUGUGAAGAAGGUCUUCGGAUUGUAAAGCACUUUAAGUUGGGAGGAAGGGUUGUAGAUUAAUACUCUGCAAUUUUGACGUUACCGACAGAAUAAGCACCGGCUAACUCUGUG
This 448-nucleotide ribosomal RNA is filed under the name uncultured bacterium. RNAcentral describes it as "bacterial SSU rRNA". It matches the Rfam family "Bacterial small subunit ribosomal RNA", at positions 64 to 507 of the family's 1533-position model. The record is from RNAcentral.